AACACAUGCAAGUCGAACGGUAACUUUUGGUGCUUGCACCGAAAGACGAGUGGCGAACGGGUGCGUAACGCGUAUGCAAUCUACCUUUUACUAGGGUAUAGCCCGAAGAAAUUUGGAUUAAUCCCCUAUAAUAUCAUGAAUUCGCAUGAUUUUAUGAUUAAAGCUUCGGCGGUAAAAGAUGAGCAUGCGUCCUAUUAGUUAGUAGGUGAGGUAACGGCUCACCUAGACUACGAUAGGUAGGGGUCCUGAGAGGGAGAUCCCCCACACUGGUACUGAGACACGGACCAGACUCCUACGGGAGGCAGCAGUGAGGAAUAUUGGACAAUGGACGAAAGUCUGAUCCAGCUAUGCCGCGUGCAGGAUGACGGCCCUAUGGGUUGUAAACUGCUUUUAUACAGGAAGAAAAAAUCCGACGUGUCGGAUCUUGACGGUACUGUAAGAAUAAGGAUCGGCUAACUCCGUGCCAGCAGCCGCGGUAAUACGGAGGAUCCAAGCGUUAUCCGGAAUCAUUGGGUUUAAAGGGUCCGCAGGCGGUUUUUUAAGUCAGAGGUGAAAUCCUACAGCUCAACUGUAGAAUGGCCUUUGAUACUGAAAGACUUGA
Molecule: ribosomal RNA, 601 nt
Filed under: uncultured bacterium
Lineage: Bacteria
Description: bacterial SSU rRNA
Rfam family: Bacterial small subunit ribosomal RNA
Source: RNAcentral